UUAACCCAACGACAGGCUAGAAGACGACGCAUCUCUCAGGAUAUCCGAGAUGCUGGGCCUUACAGAAGAAGAGGAGUGAGGACACUGUUGUCUGAGCGGAGAGAUAGGCUGGCAAGACUGCGAUAUCUUUUACUCAACAACGGAUAUUCUCGGGAUGGAAGACAACUAGCAGACACUGGACUUAGAGGAACUCAGAGUGAAUCAAGAAGUGAACCAUU
This is a long non-coding RNA of Lemur catta (Ring-tailed lemur), 218 nucleotides long. RefSeq lists it as uncharacterized. The record is from RefSeq and is a predicted model, not a curated record. The transcript is spliced from 3 exons. NCBI's taxonomy places the organism in Eukaryota, Metazoa, Chordata, Mammalia, Primates, Lemuridae.